This is a long non-coding RNA of Dromaius novaehollandiae (emu), 650 nucleotides long. RefSeq lists it as uncharacterized. The record is from RefSeq and is a predicted model, not a curated record. The transcript has 6 exons. NCBI's taxonomy places the organism in Eukaryota, Metazoa, Chordata, Aves, Casuariiformes, Dromaiidae.
UUGGGAUCGCUUUAUUGUCUCACCAAAAAUACAUAUUCUGAUAAGGCCUAUCACACAUUGCCCAUGUACCAAAGAAGCAAAUGAAGGCUCACGUGCAGCUAGCAAAGUACUAACACUCUAAAACCAGGCAGUCCUACUUUAAGGAGAAAGAGGAAUCAUCUGCCAAGAUCCUCUCUCGCCCCCUGAGCAGGAGAGCAGCUUACCAGUGAUUCGUUCAAGGGAGGUGAACCUGUGAACGGGUCUUCUGCAAGUACAUGUAGACGACACAAUGCUGUAUCUACGUGGAGAUUACCUCUACAAACUGUAUGUCUCACCCUGAUCCUCCAUAAAUGGCCGUUGGAAGAAGACUGUCAGGGACACUGACUUCCCAACAGUCGACUGGAAAUAAGGAGCUGGGUGGAAGACAGAGAAGAUGAAUCAGGGAUGCUACAGCAAGAGGUGCCUGCAACAUUUCAGCACCAUUUUGAAGUCAGGUGGAAUGGAGUGAAUCCAAAAUGUGAGGCGAGAUAUGGUGACGUUGACUCAUUAGUCCCAGGCAUCCCCAGGUCCCCCCCCAGGUUUUCAGGAUGCUUGCCAAGCAGAAUGGAGCUGCUUACCAGAUUUGCCUAUCCAAAAGGCUUCUAAUCUUCGGCAGAAAUGUACAGUCAUCC